This 501-nucleotide ribosomal RNA is filed under the name Klebsiella pneumoniae. Its description in RNAcentral is "partial 23S ribosomal RNA". It matches the Rfam family "Bacterial large subunit ribosomal RNA", at positions 419 to 924 of the family's 2925-position model. The record is from RNAcentral. Lineage: Bacteria; Pseudomonadati; Pseudomonadota; Gammaproteobacteria; Enterobacterales; Enterobacteriaceae.
GGGACACGUGGUAUCCUGUCUGAAUAUGGGGGGACCAUCCUCCAAGGCUAAAUACUCCUGACUGACCGAUAGUGAACCAGUACCGUGAGGGAAAGGCGAAAAGAACCCCGGCGAGGGGAGUGAAAAAGAACCUGAAACCGUGUACGUACAAGCAGUGGGAGCACCUUCGGGUGUGACUGCGUACCUUUUGUAUAAUGGGUCAGCGACUUAUAUUCUGUAGCAAGGUUAACCGUAUAGGGGAGCCGCAGGGAAACCGAGUCUUAACUGGGCGUUAAGUUGCAGGGUAUAGACCCGAAACCCGGUGAUCUAGCCAUGGGCAGGUUGAAGGUUGGGUAACACUAACUGGAGGACCGAACCGACUAAUGUUGAAAAAUUAGCGGAUGACUUGUGGCUGGGGGUGAAAGGCCAAUCAAACCGGGAGAUAGCUGGUUCUCCCCGAAAGCUAUUUAGGUAGCGCCUCGUGAAUUCAUCUUCGGGGGUAGAGCACUGUUUCGGCUAGGG